This 339-nucleotide ribosomal RNA is filed under the name Triticum aestivum (bread wheat). RNAcentral's name for it is "partial small subunit ribosomal RNA". The record is from RNAcentral. Lineage: Eukaryota; Viridiplantae; Streptophyta; Magnoliopsida; Poales; Poaceae.
AUGGGAUGGGUCCUCGGCGAGGUGCUCCGCCUCUACCCGCCAUCCCCCAACAUGCAGCGGCAGGCCCUGCACGACAUCACCAUCGACGACGCCGGCACGACCAACUCGCGGGGCACCAACAUGGCCGUGGUGCUGCGGCGGUUCGAGCUAGCCAAGGCGCCCGAGUACCGGCGCUUGAGCUGGCCGUGGCCGUGGUACAUUCUGCCCCCGCCACGCCUUGACCGCCGGAACGCGCCCCAUCCAGGCAGAGGAGAGAGGAGAGAGAGGACAGAGGAAAGAUACGACAGAGGAGAGAUGAGAGAGGACAGAGGAAAGAGACGUCGACAGUGGGCGAAAUAA